Molecule: long non-coding RNA, 1184 nt
Filed under: Homo sapiens (human)
Lineage: Eukaryota; Metazoa; Chordata; Mammalia; Primates; Hominidae
Description: HSALNT0068786
Source: RNAcentral
CGAGACCAGCCUGGUCCGACACGGCAAAACCCUGUCUCUACUAAAAUACAAAAAAUUAGCUGGGCGUGGUGGCGGGUUCCUGUAAUCCCAGCUACUAGAAAGGCUGAGGCAGGAGAAUUGCUUGAACCUGGGAGGCGGAGGUUGUAGUGAGCCGACAUCACGCUACUGCACUGCAGCCUGGGCAACAGAGCGAGACUCCAUUUCAAAAAAAAAAAAAAAAGAAUGGCUACUCCAUAGGCAGAGCGGCCCCAAAGGCUGCUGGUUGCCCAUUUUCAUGGUUAUUUCUUGAUCAUAUGCUAAACAAGGGGUGAACUAUUCAUGAGUUUUCCAGGAAAAGGGUGGGCAAUUCCCAGAACUGAGAGUUUCUCCCCUCCCUUUUGAGACCUUAUAAGGUAACCUCCAGACGUUGUCAUGGCAUCUGUAAACUGUCAUGGUGCUGGUGGGGGUGUCUUUUAGCAGCUAAUGCAUUCUAAUUAGCAUAUAAUGAGCCGUGAGGACAAUCAGAGGUCACUCUCGUGGCCACCUUGGGUUUGGUGGGCUUUGGCCGGCUUCUUUACUGCAAACUGCUUUAUCAGCAAGGUCUUCAUGACCUGUAUCUUGUGCGACCUCCUAUCUCAUCCUGGGACUAAGAAUGCCUAACCUCCUGGGAAUGCAGCCCGGCAGGUCUCAGCCUCACUUUACCCAGCCCCCAUUCAAGAUGGAGCUGCUCUGGUUCACAUGUCUCUGACAAGUUGACCUGGGUUGAGUGUUCCAUAGCGUGUGGUUGUUGGAGCUUUUCUUAGGAGUAAGAAGUAUUGUUAGUAGGAAACAGGCCUCUAUUGGCCCUGGGGCUGGCACUCUGCCCCAGUAUGUCAGUCUCAUUUUAGUGGUGACCAAACUGGGGCUCAGAGAAAUCAACUCCCUCACCCCGAACCCCCAGACUGUGAGUGGUGGGCUGGGGUUUGAAUGUGGGGCUUGAAGACCCACCGUUUCCUCUGGUCCCCCAUGCUCUGCUGCCCGAGAGGAACAGGAUCCCAGGAUCCAGGCCCCUGAUGGCACCAGCCAGGGUGGGUGGAAAUGGGGAGGCACAGUCCCAAAGCCCCCAGGACUCUGAGGCAGGUCGGGGGCUGAGAGCAACCCGGAACUGCAGACCCCACCCCGAGAGGAAUGGCUCAUGGUGACCUGGCACAGGUCUGUUGGACUCG